This 465-nucleotide ribosomal RNA is filed under the name uncultured bacterium. Its description in RNAcentral is "partial 16S ribosomal RNA". It matches the Rfam family "Bacterial small subunit ribosomal RNA", at positions 28 to 507 of the family's 1533-position model. The record is from RNAcentral.
GAUGAACGCUGGCGGCGUGCUUAACACAUGCAAGUCGAACGGAAAGGCCCUGCUUGCAGGGUACUCGAGUGGCGAACGGGUGAGUAACACGUGGGUGAUCUGCCCUGCACUUCGGGAUAAGCCUGGGCAACUGGGUCUAAUACCGGAUAGGAGCCAUUUUUAGUGUGAUGGUUAGAAAGUUUUUUCGGUGUAGGAUGAGCUCGCGGCCUAUCAGCUUGUUGGUGGGGUAAUGGCCUACCAAGGCGGCGACGUGUAGCCGGCCUGAGAGGGUGGACGACCACAUUGGGACUGAGAGACGGCACAGACACCGACGGUAGGCAGCAGUGGGGAAGACUGCACAAUGGGCGCAGGCCUGAUGCAGCGACGCCGCGGGGGGGAUGACUGCCUUCUGGUUGUAAACUCCUUUCGCUAGGGACGAAGCUUUUUGUGACGGUACCUAGAUAAAAAGCACCGGCUAACUACGUG